GGAGCAGGAUGGGAUGGCUGCUGGGCUGCACCCCGUGUCGUCUUCUCGGUCAAUACCCGACUGCUGUCUCCACUCUAAAGUGGUUAUUAGACUGGUCAGGGAGAGAUGCAUGGAAAUUUAGACAUUGCAAUGGACUGCCCAGGGAGGCGUGAAGUCUCCGUCUCUGGACGUGUGUAAGGAAGGACUGGACGUGGCACUCAGUGCCAUGGGCUUCUUGCCAUGGUGGUGAUCGGUCGUAGGCCGGACGCGAUAAUCUCAGAGGUCUUUUCCAAAGUGACUGAUGAUGUGAUUCUGUGGAAUGGAUACAGCUCAUCCAGUCCCUAAAGGGACCACAGCAGCCUGGCCACUGUGAGAGUCCUCCUGCCACGGCCACGCUCCCCAUAAAUAUUUCAGCUUUUAUGCCCCUCUCUUCUCUGGCUGAUUUUGUAAAGAGAUGGGGCUUGGAUUGUGCUAUCAUCUGCCUGCUCUCAUAUGCCUGCUUUUGCUUAAAUGCAGGAGAGGAAAAGACAUUUUACAGAUAUGAAAUUCCUGCACAGCUUCAAAGAAGAGUUGGCGUCAGCCGUGUUUGUACUGGGGAGAGAGCUAAAAGGAACUCUGUCCCGGUGAGGGGGAGCAGGCUCCCUAAGCUCAGCAUCCUGCUCCGAGGCACAGCCACUGGCCGGGCAGCCAGCCCAUGUGUGCUGGCCCAGACCAGGCACAGCACUGAGCACUGGACAGGCUGCCCAGACAGCCUGCGAGUCUCUUUCCCUGGAGACAUUCAUAAGCUGUCUGGACACAGUCCUGAGGAACGUUCUCUACGGGACCCUGCUUGAGCAGGAGGGUUGGACCGGAUGAUCGCCAGUAGUCCCUUCCAGUGUGAGCUGUUCUGUGAUUCGUGAACCAUGUGCUGCUGUUUGCCUUCCAAACGGGAUGGCAUGGGAAGAAGAUGAGGGGAGAGAGUGCUAUCACUUCUAUGAGGAGUUGGGAGUACUCUUGCUUCAGAGUUGGACUGAGAUGUAUGGGACACAUCUAUGGGAAACUUGGUCUCAUUCUCCUGCGCAGAACAACCCAUUAUUCAAUUAAAGCGGAUUGCUUAAGGCCUGGAUGCAAAUUGUCAUCACUUCACAUUUAAUUUUAACUUAACUGGGUUUUUAAAUAAAAAAUGUAGAGAACAUUCCUUUUCCCCGGGCAAAGCCUUGCUUUACUGAGAUCCACGAAAUGCUGCUGCCACAAAGGUUGUGUUUUUUUUGUACACCACAAUGAGCCUCUACUGUUUACACUCUCCUUGUGCCAUUCUCUCUAUAAUCACGGCAAACCCACCCUGCUUGCCUUCCCCUCCAUAAAACAAAGCAACACUCGCUGUUCUGCUGAUAACUCCACCAAGUACAAGGCCGAGGACAGAAAAGAAUUAAUCUCUGCAUCAGCUGUGAAACAAAGAAAGGAAUCAAGAUUUUCAUGACUGGAAAACUAAAUACAGCUAGGCAGAUCAGCUGUCUGCAGAGGAGCCAGCCAGCACGUGCUUCUGUGAGGGCUUGGAGAGCUGAAUCUCCAGGAGUGUCUCCCUCAGGAAACUUCCAAACUGCAGUUCGUCUCCUUCCCCUUCAGCCACCAGCACAGAAAUGAGUGGAUCAUAAACCCAACCAUGAGCCUUUUCUCACCAGAAAGCAAGCAAGCCGGGAGUGGAGAGCAAAGUACAGGUCAGAACUUUUUGGUGCCAGCAGGUCUGAGCCUUUUCAAGGUCACAGUGCUCCUGUUUUAAACAGAGCUGUGGAAACUAGGGUGUGUUUUGAAUUAAAAAUGAAUUGGAUUGCUUAAAUGCAAAAAAAAAUAA
Molecule: long non-coding RNA, 1810 nt
Organism: Prinia subflava (tawny-flanked prinia)
Lineage: Eukaryota; Metazoa; Chordata; Aves; Passeriformes; Cisticolidae
Exons: 2
Source: RefSeq, a predicted model, not a curated record